AUGACAAAGCACAUCAGAGUUUAUGAUAACACCAAUCAAUAUCUGACAAUACACAACCGUGACAUGGAAAUUCUGAAAGAUGCUUUUAGAAAUAUUGCAUCCUUGGACAAUUGGACUGUGUCUAGUCUACAGCAAUGGCAGAGAGACGAUGGAAGGAACUGUGGUGUUUUCGUAUGCACAAUGGCAGAGAUGGAAGCUAAAAGUAUUAAAAUGUGCCACGAAAUUCUGCACACUGAACAGAUGGGAUACCUUCAUCUUUACCAUGCCUCAUGCAUGGUGAAACUUCUACAACCAGAGAGUAAUGCACCCACGAAUCCAGUCACUGGACUGGAUUCAAUGUGA
Long non-coding RNA from Cyprinus carpio (common carp), 342 nucleotides. The record is from Ensembl. Lineage: Eukaryota; Metazoa; Chordata; Actinopteri; Cypriniformes; Cyprinidae.